Molecule: ribosomal RNA, 61 nt
Filed under: Morella esculenta
Lineage: Eukaryota; Viridiplantae; Streptophyta; Magnoliopsida; Fagales; Myricaceae
Description: partial 28S ribosomal RNA
Source: RNAcentral
CUUCCAUCGCGACGCCAGGUCAGGCGGGACUACCCGCUGAGUUUAGCUAUCAUAACGGAGG